This is a long non-coding RNA of Carassius carassius (crucian carp), 296 nucleotides long. RefSeq lists it as uncharacterized. The transcript has 3 exons. The record is from RefSeq and is a predicted model, not a curated record. Lineage: Eukaryota; Metazoa; Chordata; Actinopteri; Cypriniformes; Cyprinidae.
UUCCCAGUGGCACCUCAAGGUGAUCUCAUGUUCUGCAACACCGCACCAGUCUCCCUAAAUUGUUGCCCAUUAUUCCAGGCCCUGCCCCAUUGCAAAAUCUUCUCUCCAGACUGCCAAAGGAGCUUGCAGAUAUACAGGUGCAGCACAGGAGUUGUCACACGCUCAUUGACACAAAGCAUGGAGUGUAUAAAAGCACUAAAUCAGAGAAAAGAGCACCCUGGGAACAUCUGCUCAACUUUUAUUUUUCCUGUUCCAGGGAAGAAAGAAGUCCUACAGGCUUGGAACAAUGUUUUGGG